CAAUAUCUAUUACCAAUAGGUGACAUCCCAAGAAAACCUUUAUAUCCACCUCUUCCACCACGACCAGGAAGCCACAGUGAUUCUGGAGGUUUUAAUGACUUAGAUCUCGUUGAUGGGAAGCCUUUACCACCACGACUACCAGGAGAAGACGAGCAUCAUUUCAAUCACGGAGGAAAUACUGAUUCAGGGUUAAUAGCUGGAGUUACAUCUCCUAUAAUUUCUGCUUUUGUAAUAUUAGUUGUUGGAUCAAUAGCAGCCUACUCAGCUUACAAGAACAAGAGACUUUGUUUUAAACCACAAGGUGGGGCUGCAGUGUAAACUGCUGAAAGAAAAGCUAUCCAAUGGUGACAGGCUCCUUUGGUUGGUGGUGCUAUCUUACAGAUUGCUCUUCUAAAUUGAUGGUUUCCUUGGUCCAGAAAUGAACACUCCGCCACAGACCUGACAAAUUUUAAUUCUACUUACCAUCCUGAUUUCAAAAAAAAAUUUACCAAUCUUACACUAACAUUUUGUUGGGACAUUGCAAGUCUGUUUUCUUCUACCUGAUGUUACUUUUCCAUUUUGAAGUGUAUGUCAUUAAAGAUGUGCUUAAAUGGCUGUGGAUGGUACUGCACUAUCUGAUGUCUAUUAAUAAAGUGGAAUAGGUAUUUUGAUUCA
RNAcentral lists this long non-coding RNA (654 nucleotides) under Struthio camelus australis. RNAcentral describes it as "lncRNA (ENSSCUG00000003535.1)". Lineage: Eukaryota; Metazoa; Chordata; Aves; Struthioniformes; Struthionidae. The record is from RNAcentral.